GCUGGGCGUGGUGGCGCACGCCUGUAGUCCCAGCUACUCAGGAGGCUGAGGCAGAAGAAUUGCUUGAACCUGGGAGGUGGAGGUUGCAGUGAGCUGAGAUUGUUCCACUGUUCUCCAGCCUGGGUGACAGAGUGAGACUCUGUCUCAA
RNAcentral lists this non-coding RNA (148 nucleotides) under Gorilla gorilla gorilla (western lowland gorilla). Lineage: Eukaryota; Metazoa; Chordata; Mammalia; Primates; Hominidae. The record is from Rfam by way of RNAcentral.